CCAGUAGCGGCGAGCGAACGGGGAGGAGCCCAGAGCCUGAAUCAGCAUGUGUGUUAGUGGAAGCGUCUGGAAAGGCGCGCGAUACAGGGUGACAGCCCCGUACACAAAAGCGCAUGUGCUGUGAGCUCGAUGAGUAGGGCGGGACACGUGGUAUCCUGUCUGAAUAUGGGGGGACCAUCCUCCAAGGCUAAAUACUCCUGACUGACCGAUAGUGAACCAGUACCGUGAGGGAAAGGCGAAAAGAACCCCGGCGAGGGGAGUGAAAAAGAACCUGAAACCGU
This 281-nucleotide ribosomal RNA is filed under the name Salmonella enterica subsp. enterica serovar Agbeni. RNAcentral's name for it is "partial 23S ribosomal RNA". It matches the Rfam family "Bacterial large subunit ribosomal RNA", at positions 240 to 559 of the family's 2925-position model. Lineage: Bacteria; Pseudomonadati; Pseudomonadota; Gammaproteobacteria; Enterobacterales; Enterobacteriaceae. The record is from RNAcentral.